RNAcentral lists this ribosomal RNA (533 nucleotides) under bacterium. RNAcentral's name for it is "bacterial SSU rRNA". It matches the Rfam family "Bacterial small subunit ribosomal RNA", at positions 313 to 856 of the family's 1533-position model. The record is from RNAcentral.
CUGGGACUGAGAUACGGCCCAGACUCCUACGGGAGGCAGCAGUGGGGAAUAUUGCACAAUGGGCGCAAGCCUGAUGCAGCGACGCCGCGUGAGGGAUGACGGCCUUCGGGUUGUAAACCUCUUUCAGUAGGGACGAAGCGCAAGUGACGGUACCUAUAGAAGAAGGACCGGCCAACUACGUGCCAGCAGCCGCGGUAAUACGUAGGGUCCGAGCGUUGUCCGGAAUUACUGGGCGUAAAGAGCUCGUAGGUGGUUUGUCGCGUUGUUCGUGAAAACUCACAGCUCAACUGUGGGCGUGCGGGCGAUACGGGCAGACUUGAGUACUGCAGGGGAGACUGGAAUUCCUGGUGUAGCGGUGGAAUGCGCAGAUAUCAGGAGGAACACCGGUGGCGAAGGCGGGUCUCUGGGCAGUAACUGACGCUGAGGAGCGAAAGCGUGGGGAGCGAACAGGAUUAGAUACCCUGGUAGUCCACGCCGUAAACGGUGGGUACUAGGUGUGGGUUUCUUUCCUUGGGAUCCGUGCCGUAGCUAAC